GAGAACAUUGGCAAGAGUGGGGACAUGGAAGCUGUGUUCAGGCCGGUCCACGCUGGGUGACCCAUGUGACCUGCUGCUUAGCAAUUCCUUGUCACCAUCUUCCCUUCUCAGCCUCUUUUUUCAUGCUAACAGGCAUAAAUGAAAUGAUAAAAGUUUGAGCUCUUCUCGUGGAAUUCUCGUGAUACAGAUAUGUGCUACAUGUUCAUCAUCUCGUUGGUCUUCACCAUGAUAACUGUGGAGUAAGAAUUAUAAGCAGGUCACAGAUUAGGGACUUGAGAUUGACAGUUUGGCUUCCCUGUUCUGGGUGGCAAAGCCUGUGGAGUACUCACCUACCUGCUGCAUGAAGGCAGCAUGGAGGGACUGUGGUGGAUUAUCUGCAAAGAUGGCCAAAAUUCUCUCAUCCCUGCAGGCACAUACAAGGAAAUUGAAGUAUACAGAAUGCUUAUUUGGUCUACUCAGUAUCAUCCUAAAUGUAUGUACCAAUGCUUAGGAGUUUGCAGUUCACCCGCAAACCUCAGCGAUCCAAGCUCCCCUGGAUGACCAUCACUCACCAAGAAAAGAGCAAUAACAGGACCUGUUUUGCUAAUCCAGGACUGUUCUCCAGCACUAACUCUAAAUAAUCCCUUCUGCUAGAGUCCACUUUCUGGAACCUGUUGCCUCCGUUUUCAACGUUUCCCAAACUUGGUCCGUUGUGUGAGCUGGCUGAUAAAAGUUCCAGGGAGAAGACAUCUUACUCUUAUUGGAUCAUGCACAGUGCCUGAAGCAUUCUGUUGCAUGUAGAAGUCAGUAAAUUGCAGAUGUAAGAUUCAAAACCAGACUUCACAUCUACCGACUUCAGUGACCCUGAAAUUUGUUCACAGAGAGCAUUUAACAUAACUGUCUUCAUCAUCUCCUUCUCUACAUUAAAAAUUAUGGAGGCCUUACAAACUGGUAGAAGAUGCAUAACAGAAGAGCUUAUGAAGUUAAAGAUGACAGCAUAGCAGCACUGGUGAGAUCCUUUUAGACAUAACAUGGUAGGAAGGACUGUUUGACAAAGUGAAUGCCUGUCUUUCAGAAUAUACAGGGAGGUGUGAUGUACCCAUUAUCACAAGCAGAUGGAAUCCCUAUAGAGUCGGAUCUCAUCUACAUAUCACCUAUUAUAUGUAGUUAUUGAUGGAUAAAUACUUCAACAACUAAAGGCAGAAAGAGAGCAGGUGGGCAUAGGAGUUAGUAAACAUCUCACUGCUAUUGUUUUUCAAGGUGAAGCUAGAGAAGAAGAUUCCUAAGAUGUAGGAGGAAAUUAUCAUACUGAGUAAGAGGGUGCAAUUUUGGAAGGUUGGACUUGAUGACCUCUCCAGCAUUAAGGGUGAAUGAUUCUUUCUAGGGAUUUGGUUUGUUGCCAGAGAGCCUGGCUACCUGCUAUUUAGUUGCUUUGUUGAUUAGCAAAUUUCCUCUGAAAUAUUCCUCACAUUCAUGAGCCCCCUUCCUGGGGUAGGUGGACCCAGAAAAUGUUUUCUCCCAUUUUAGUUGGCCAUGUGUUUGAAACUCAGAUGGACCUAAGUCUUUCAGCAUCAUUGUCACUACUGUAUGUCUAUCCAUAAAAAGAAGGCAUAAGACUCUCUGUAGUAUCACGAAGUUAGCCAUUUGGGAUUGCAAAAACUUUCCUCUUUCCAUUGGAGAGAAAUAGUUUAGAUUAGAUGGUGGAGCCCCUACCACAUCUCCCAAAAUUUAAAUUAUAACAUGAACAGUAAUUUAGGUCUGAUUUUAAUAUUUUGUCAUUCUUAAACCUAAUAAAAGCUACAUCUUCCUAAA
Long non-coding RNA from Homo sapiens (human), 1791 nucleotides. Ensembl annotates it as MIR7515 host gene. NCBI's taxonomy places the organism in Eukaryota, Metazoa, Chordata, Mammalia, Primates, Hominidae. The record is from Ensembl.